This 247-nucleotide ribosomal RNA is filed under the name uncultured bacterium. Its description in RNAcentral is "partial 16S ribosomal RNA". It matches the Rfam family "Bacterial small subunit ribosomal RNA", at positions 15 to 258 of the family's 1533-position model. The record is from RNAcentral.
GAUCCUGGCUCAGAUUGAACGCUGGCGGCAGGCUUAACACAUGCAAGUCGAACGGUAACAUAAAGGAGCUUGCUUCUUUGAUGACGAGUGGCGGACGGGUGAGUAAUGCUUGGGAAUCUAGCUUAUGGAGGGGGAUAACUACGGGAAACUGUAGCUAAUACCGCGUAGAAUCGGGAGAUGAAAGUGUGGGACCUUCGGGCCACAUGCCAUAGGAUGAGCCCAAGUGGGAUUAGGUAGUUGGUGAAGG